CCUACGGGUGGCAGCAGUGAGGAAUAUUGGUCAAUGGUCGGGAGACUGAACCAGCCAAGCCGCGUGAGGGAUGACGGUACAGAGUAUCGUAAACCUCUUUUGUCAGGGAACAAAGGCGGGGACGCGUCCCCGUAUGAGUGUACCUGAAGAAAAAGCAUCGGCUAACUACGUGCCAGCAGCCGCGGUAAUACGGAGGGGGCAAGCGUUAUCCGGAUUUAUUGGGUGUAAAGGGAGCGUAGACGGCGAUGCAAGUCUGAAGUGAAAGGCUGGGGCCCAACCCUCGGACUGCAUUGGAAACUGGAAGGCUGGAGUGCAGGAGAGGUAAGUGGAAUUCCUGGUGUAGCGGUGAAAUGCGUAGAUAUUAGGAGGAACACCAGUGGCGAAGGCGGCUUACUGGACUGUAACUGACGUUGAGGCUCGAAAGCGUGGGGAGCAAACAGGAUUAGAUACCCCAGUAGUC
This 460-nucleotide ribosomal RNA is filed under the name uncultured bacterium. RNAcentral's name for it is "partial 16S ribosomal RNA". It matches the Rfam family "Bacterial small subunit ribosomal RNA", at positions 338 to 795 of the family's 1533-position model. The record is from RNAcentral.